CGGCGGACGGGUGAGUAACGCGUGGGUAACCUACCUCAUACGGGGGAUAACAGUUGGAAACGGCUGCUAAUACCGCAUAAGCGCACAGUACCGCAUGGUACCGUGUGAAAAACUCCGGUGGUAUGAGAUGGACCCGCGUCUGAUUAGCUAGUUGGUGGGGUAACGGCCCACCAAGCCGACGAUCAGUAGCCGACCUGAGAGGGUGACCGGCCACAUUGGGACUGAGACACGGCCCAA
RNAcentral lists this ribosomal RNA (237 nucleotides) under uncultured bacterium. Its description in RNAcentral is "partial 16S ribosomal RNA". It matches the Rfam family "Bacterial small subunit ribosomal RNA", at positions 96 to 334 of the family's 1533-position model. The record is from RNAcentral.